This 434-nucleotide ribosomal RNA is filed under the name uncultured bacterium. RNAcentral describes it as "partial 16S ribosomal RNA". It matches the Rfam family "Bacterial small subunit ribosomal RNA", at positions 341 to 792 of the family's 1533-position model. The record is from RNAcentral.
ACGGAAGGCAGCAGUGGGGAAUAUUGCACAAUGGGGGAAACCCUGAUGCAGCAACGCCGCGUGAAGGAAGACGGUCUUCGGAUCGUAAACUUCUGUUCUUAGUGAAGAUAAUGACGGUAGCUAAGGAGCAAGCCACGGCUAACUAUGUGCCAGCAGCCGCGGUAAUACGUAGGUGGCAAGCGUUGUCCGGAUUUACUGGGUGUAAAGGGAGCGCAGGCGGGAAAUCAAGUUGGAUGUGAAAUGUCGGGGCUUAACCCCGGAACUGCAUCCAAAACUGAUUUUCUUGAGUGAAGUAGAGGUAGGCGGAAUUCCGAGUGUAGCGGUGAAAUGCGUAGAUAUUCGGAGGAACACCAGUGGCGAAGGCGGCCUACUGGGCUUUAACUGACGCUGAGGCACGAAAGCAUGGGUAGCAAACAGGAUUAGAUACCCUGGUA